GCCGGGCGCGGUGGCGCACGCCUGCCAUCCCAGCGGCUUGGGAGGCUGAGGCAGGAGGAUCACGAGUUCAGAGGCCAGCCUCAG
RNAcentral lists this small RNA (84 nucleotides) under Marmota monax (woodchuck). The record is from RNAcentral. Lineage: Eukaryota; Metazoa; Chordata; Mammalia; Rodentia; Sciuridae.